UACGGGGGGGGCAAGCGUUGUUCGGAAUUACUGGGCGUAAAGGGCUCGUAGGCGGCCAACUAAGUCGGAUGUGAAAUCCCCAGGCUCAACCUGGGAACUGCAUCCGAUACUGGUUGGCUUGAGUUUGGGAGAGGGAUGCGGAAUUCCAGGUGUAGCGGUGAAAUGCGUAGAUAUCUGGAGGAACACCGGUGGCGAAGGCGGCAUCCUGGACCAAUACUGACGCUGAGGAGCGAAAGCCAGGGGAGCAAACGGG
Molecule: ribosomal RNA, 253 nt
Filed under: uncultured bacterium
Lineage: Bacteria
Description: partial 16S ribosomal RNA
Rfam family: Bacterial small subunit ribosomal RNA
Source: RNAcentral